Molecule: ribosomal RNA, 501 nt
Filed under: uncultured bacterium
Lineage: Bacteria
Description: partial 16S ribosomal RNA
Rfam family: Bacterial small subunit ribosomal RNA
Source: RNAcentral
AUUGAACGCUGGCGGCAGGCUUAACACAUGCAAGUCGAGCGGGGGAAGGUAGCUUGCUACCGGACCUAGCGGCGGACGGGUGAGUAAUGCUUAGGAAUCUGCCUAUUAGUGGGGGACAACAUCUCGAAAGGGAUGCUAAUACCGCAUACGUCCUACGGGAGAAAGCAGGGGAUCUUCGGACCUUGCGCUAAUAGAUGAGCCUAAGUCGGAUUAGCUAGUUGGUGGGGUAAAGGCCUACCAAGGCGACGAUCUGUAGCGGGUCUGAGAGGAUGAUCCGCGACACUGGGACUGAGACACGCCCCAGAGUCCUACGGGAGGCAGCAGUGGGGAAUAUUGGACAAUGGGGGGAACCCUGAUCCAGCCAUGCCGCGUGUGUGAAGAAGGCCUUAUGGUUGUAAAGCACUUUAAGCGAGGAGGAGGCUACUCUAGUUAAUACCUAGGGAUAGUGGACGUUACUCGCAGAAUAAGCACCGGCUAACUCUGUGCCAGCCGCCGCGGUAA